RNAcentral lists this ribosomal RNA (492 nucleotides) under uncultured bacterium. Its description in RNAcentral is "partial 16S ribosomal RNA". It matches the Rfam family "Bacterial small subunit ribosomal RNA", at positions 29 to 507 of the family's 1533-position model. The record is from RNAcentral.
AGUGAACGCUGGCGGUAGGCCUAACACAUGCAAGUCGAACGGCAGCACAGUAAGAGCUUGCUCUUACGGGUGGCGAGUGGCGGACGGGUGAGGAAUACAUCGGAAUCUACUUUUUCGUGGGGGAUAACGUAGGGAAACUUACGCUAAUACCGCAUACGACCUACGAGUGAAAGCAGGGGAUCUUCGGACCUUGCGCGAUUGAAUGAGCCGAUGUCGUAUUAGCUAGUUGGCGGGGUAAAGGCCCACCAAGGCGACGAUCCGUAGCUGGUCUGAGAGGAUGAUCAGCCACACUGGAACUGAGACACGGUCCAGACUCCUACGGGAGGCAGCAGUGGGGAAUAUUGGACAAUGGGCGCAAGCCUGAUCCAGCCAUACCGCGUGGGUGAAGAAGGCCUUCGGGUUGUAAAGCCCUUUUGUUGGGAAAGAAAAGCGGCAGGUUAAUACCCCGCUGUUCUGACGGUACCCAAAGAAUAAGCACCGGCUAACUUCGUG